AAUUGCAAAUUUAGCCACUUUUUCUUUCCAACCACCCACCACCCAAACAUGCACCCACAUUAGUACGGGAGACUAAAAAUUUUUUAGCGCUAUAAAAAAAGUACUGCAAAGGAAAAAUGAAAUAGAACUUAAAUAAACCACAAAAAUAUGCCAAAACAAAGACUAAAACCUGUACCUCUUGCAUCAUGGUCUAGCAAGUCUAACCCGACAAAAAGAACUUAAGCCGGACCCCCCGAAACCAAACGAGCUACCCCAGGGCAACCCGUGAGUUGAUCCCCCUCUGUGGCAAAAGAGCGGAAAGACCCUAGGGUAGUGGCAAUAAACCUAACGAGUUUGAAUAUAGCUGGUUACUUGAAAAAUGAACUUUAAUUCAACCAAAAGCACUCCAACCAUUAAGAAACAAACAUGCUUUUGUUAUAAUAAAUUAGGGUACAGCCUAAUUAAUAAGGGAAACAACCCACAUAAAUGAAUAACGACUAUAAUGUACCAGGACCACCAACCCAGUAGGCCUAAAAGCAGCCACCAAAAUAGCGUUAAAGCUUAACCAACACUCAACCCACUAUCCCAUUAAAUAAUCCUAAUUCAACACAACAAUCAAGUUAAUCUACACUAGAUAAGUUAUUACUAGAAUAAGUAACAAGGACACAUCCUCAAGAAUACAUGUGUAAAUCAAAAUGAAUACAUCACUGAUAUUUAACAUUACAAAUACUAAAAUGUUAACCCAACACAGGAGUAUUUAAGACGACCCUUAGCUUGGGAAGGAACUCGGCAAACGAGGCCCCGCCUGUUUACCAAAAACAUCGCCUUCUGACCUAUAAACGUAGAAGGUCCUGCCUGCCCAGUGACCCCAUUUAACGGCCGCGGUAUUAUGACCGUGCAAAGGUAGCGUAAUCACUUGUCUUUUAAAUAAAGACCAGUAUGAACGGCUAAACGAGGGCCUAACUGUCUCCCCAAGUCAGUCAGUGAAAUUAAUCUUCCCGUGCAGAAGCGGGAGUAAAAAUAUAAGACGAGAAGACCCUGUGGAGCUUAUAAAUUUAAGCUACAACACGUACGCACCAGAUUUUUGGUUGGGGCGACCAUGAGGCAAAAUAAACCCUCAAGAUUUAAAACCAGAAGGACACUUCAAACUAUGGUACACCCACACAUUGACCCAACACUUGACUAACGAACCAAGUUACCCCAGGGAUAACAGCGCAAUCCUCUCACAGAGCCCCUAUCGACGAGCGGGUUUACGACCUCGAUGUUGGAUCAGGACCCCCAAGCGGCGCAGCAGCUGUCAAAGGUUCGUUUGUUCAACGAUUAAAGUCCUACGUGAUCUGAGUUCAGACCGGAGAAAUCCAGGUCAGUUUCUAUCUAUAACCUAUGCCUUUUUAGUACGAAAGGACCAAAAGGCGGGGACCAAUAAAAAACUUAAGUCCCACCAAUAGUUUCUGAAUGCAAAUAAAGAAGCUCAUGAAAACCAACAAAG
RNAcentral lists this ribosomal RNA (1468 nucleotides) under Cryptotriton nasalis (Cortes salamander). Its description in RNAcentral is "16S ribosomal RNA". It matches the Rfam family "Bacterial large subunit ribosomal RNA", at positions 377 to 2819 of the family's 2925-position model. The record is from RNAcentral. Lineage: Eukaryota; Metazoa; Chordata; Amphibia; Caudata; Plethodontidae.